CGGAAACUGUAGUUCUUGAGUGAAGUAGAGGCAGGCGGAAUUCCUAGUGUAGCGGUGAAAUGCGUAGAUAUUAGGAGGAACACCAGUGGCGAAGGCGGCCUGCUGGGCUUUAACUGACGCUGAGGCUCGAAAGUGUGGGGAGCAAACAGGAUUAGAUACCCUGGUAGUCCACACUGUAAACGAUGAUUACUAGGUGUGGGGGGACUGACCCCUUCCGUGCUGGAGUAAACACAAUAAGUAAUCCACCUGGGGAGUACGGCCGCAAGGUUGAAACUCAAAGGAAUUGACGGGGGCCCGCACAAGCAGUGGAGUAUGUGGUUUAAUUCGAAGCAACGCGAAGAACCUUACCAGGUCUUGACAUCGUGCGCAUAGUAUAGAGAUAUAUGAAGUCCUUCGGGACGCAUAGACAGGUGGUGCAUGGUUGUCGUCAGCUCGUGUCGUGAGAUGUCGGGUUAAGUCCCUCAACGAGCGCAACCCUUACGAUUAGUUGCUACGCAAGAGCACUCUAAUAGGACUGCCGUUGACAAAACGGAGGAAGGUGGGGAUGACGUCAAAUCAUCAUGCCCCUUAUGACCUGGGCUACACACGUACUACAAUGGUGAUCAACAGAGGGAAGCAAAGCGGCGACGCGGAGCAAAUCCCUAAAAGUCAUCUCAGUUCGGAUCGCAGGCUGCAACUCGCCUGCGUGAAGUUGGAAUUGCUAGUAAUCGCAGAUCAGAAUGCUGCGGUGAAUACGUUCCCGGGCCUUGUACACACCGCCCGUCACACCAUGGGAGUCGGUAACACCCGAAGCCAGCAGCCUAGCCCGCAAGGGAGGGAACUGUCGAAGGUGGGAUUGAUGACUGGGGUG
Molecule: ribosomal RNA, 850 nt
Filed under: uncultured bacterium
Lineage: Bacteria
Description: bacterial SSU rRNA
Rfam family: Bacterial small subunit ribosomal RNA
Source: RNAcentral